UACGAAGGGGGCUAGCGUUGUUCGGAAUCACUGGGCGUAAAGCGCACGUAGGCAGAUCUUUAAGUCAGGGGUGAAAUCCCGAGGCUCAACCUCGGAACUGCCUUUGAUACUGGGGAUCUCGAGUCCGGGAGAGGUGAGUGGAACUGCGAGUGUAGAGGUGAAAUUCGUAGAUAUUCGCAAGAACACCAGUGGCGAAGGCGGCUCACUGGCCCGGAACUGACGCUGAGGUGCGAAAGCGUGGGGAGCAAACAGG
RNAcentral lists this ribosomal RNA (253 nucleotides) under uncultured bacterium. RNAcentral's name for it is "partial 16S ribosomal RNA". It matches the Rfam family "Bacterial small subunit ribosomal RNA", at positions 524 to 776 of the family's 1533-position model. The record is from RNAcentral.